UGGGGAAUAUUGCACAAUGGGGGAAACCCUGAUGCAGCGACGCCGCGUGAACGAAGAAGGUAUUCGUAUCGUAAAGUUCUGUCCUAUGGGAAGAUAAUGACAGUACCAUAGAAGAAAGCUCCGGCUAAAUACGUGCCAGCAGCCGCGGUAAUACGUAUGGAGCGAGCGUUGUCCGGAAUUAUUGGGCAUAAAGGGUACGCAGGCGGUUUAAUAAGUCGAAUGUUAAAGAUCGGGGCUCAACCCCGCAAAGCAUUGGAAACUGAUAAACUUGAGUAGUGGAGAGGAAAGUGGAAUUCCUAGUGUAGUGGUGAAAUACGUAGAUAUUAGGAGGAAUACCAGUAGCGAAGGCGACUUUCUGGACACAAACUGACGCUGAGGUACGAAAGCGUGGGGAGCAAACAGG
Molecule: ribosomal RNA, 403 nt
Filed under: bacterium
Lineage: Bacteria
Description: partial 16S ribosomal RNA
Rfam family: Bacterial small subunit ribosomal RNA
Source: RNAcentral